Molecule: ribosomal RNA, 848 nt
Filed under: Hexanchus griseus
Lineage: Eukaryota; Metazoa; Chordata; Chondrichthyes; Hexanchiformes; Hexanchidae
Description: partial 16S ribosomal RNA
Rfam family: Bacterial large subunit ribosomal RNA (bases 184-848)
Source: RNAcentral
ACCUCAAAACUAGCCUAACCAAUUAUUAAACAUAACCCCAUUAAUUAAAUUCACACUCUUCCAAAAAUUAAAACAUUUUACAACUUUUAGUAUGGGUGACAGAACAAAGACCUAAGCGCAAUAGAUUUGAGUACCGCAAGGGAAAGUUGAAAAAGAAAUGAAAUAAAUAAUUAAAGUACAAAAAAGCAGAGAUUAAACCUCGUACCUUUUGCAUCAUGAUUUAGCUAGACCAACUAGGCAAAGAGACCUUAAGCCUAUCAUCCCGAAACUAGACGAGCUACUCCAGAGCAGCAUGAAAGAGCAAACCCAUCUCUGUGGCAAAAGAGUGGGAAGACUCCCGAGUAGCGGUGACAAACCUAUCGAGCCUAGUGAUAGCUGGUUAUCCAAAAAAAGAACUUCAAUUCUGCAUUAACUUUUUUAAUGUCAACUAAGAACAUCUCCAAAAGACUGAACAUAAAAAUUAAUAGUUAUUCAAAAAAGGUACAACUUUUUUGAAUCAAGAUACAACUUUUCAAGGUGGGUAAUGAUCAUAUUUACCAAGGACCAUUCCAUCAGUGGGCCUAAAAGCAGCCAUCUGUAAAGCAAGCGUCAUAGCUCCAGCCCAUAAUGAAACCUAUAAUUUAGAUAUUAUUUCCAAACCCCCUUAACCAAUAUUGGGUUAUUUUAUAAGAUUAUAAAAGAACUUAUGCUAAAAUGAGUAAUAAGAGGCUAAACCUCUCCCAACACCAGUGUAUAUCAGAAAGAAUUAAAUCACUGAUAAUUAAACGACCUCAAACUGAGAAAAUUAUAGAAAUUUAUUAUUAACUAGAAAAACCUAUUUAAUUACUCGUUAAUCCUACACAGGAGUG